Molecule: non-coding RNA, 222 nt
Organism: Vicia faba (fava bean)
Lineage: Eukaryota; Viridiplantae; Streptophyta; Magnoliopsida; Fabales; Fabaceae
Source: the annotation of a GenBank genome assembly
AUGAACGAUGACAGCAUACAACAGACAGGAAAACAGAUAUCUAGUCCCUCUUACAUUAAAUACCAACAUAUGUUGCUUGCUUGUUACACACAAGCAAUUAGAGGGGAAAAAAACUAUAAAAAAAAAAAAUCAUUCGAAUACCUGCAAAUCAGGAGGGGCGAGAGAAAGUAUCUAACUCAGGUCUUCAAACUUCAAAAAAAAAUGCGGUUUCACUUCAAGUAA